GCCUCUCGAAGGCGGGGCUAGGUCCACUCAGGCGUCUUGCACAGCUGAAUGGUUGCCAUGGGAGAUCAAAGGAUUUCUCAAACACGCAUGAAAGAAUCGAGGCAACACUCCUGGUAUGUUUGUGAUGAGUGAAUAACAUUAUGACAGGAUGUAAAAGCU
Molecule: long non-coding RNA, 159 nt
Organism: Xiphophorus hellerii (green swordtail)
Lineage: Eukaryota; Metazoa; Chordata; Actinopteri; Cyprinodontiformes; Poeciliidae
Exons: 2
Source: RefSeq, a predicted model, not a curated record